Acomys russatus (golden spiny mouse) is the source of this 107-nucleotide small nuclear RNA. The record is from RefSeq and is a predicted model, not a curated record. Lineage: Eukaryota; Metazoa; Chordata; Mammalia; Rodentia; Muridae.
GUGCUUAAUUUGGCAGCACAUAUGCUAAUAUUAGAAUAAUACAGGGAAGAUCAGCAUGGCCCCUGUGCAAGGGUAACACACAAUUAAAAAAAAAGAUUUAUUUAUUU